GUCGAGUUCACGUACGGAUACUGGGCGUAAGCGCGCGUAGGCGGUUUUUUAAGUCACGAUGUGAAUCCCCGGGCUCAACCUGGGAACUGCAUUUGAUACUGGAGAACUUGAAUGCGGUGGAGGGAAGUGGAAUUUCCCGUGUAGCGGUGAAAUGCGUAAAUAUUCUGAAGAACACCCGUGGCGAAAGCGACUUUCUGGUCUGAAACUGACGCUGAAGCUCGAAAGCGUGGGGAUCAAACAGGAUUAAAUACCCCCCGUAGUCCAA
Molecule: ribosomal RNA, 265 nt
Filed under: Alcanivorax borkumensis
Lineage: Bacteria; Pseudomonadati; Pseudomonadota; Gammaproteobacteria; Oceanospirillales; Alcanivoracaceae
Description: partial 16S ribosomal RNA
Rfam family: Bacterial small subunit ribosomal RNA
Source: RNAcentral